CGGCCCGCGGUCGGUCGGGAGCUGGAGCUGGAGCUGCAGCCACUGCGCCAGCCUCGCUGGGCUGUGGGCUCGGUCGCCCUGCUUCAGCUCUCCGUGACGAUGGGAUGGACUUCACCGACAUAAUUUCAUCACAAUGAGAAAUAAACAGAUAAUCAAAUGAAGUUUCAAGACUCGAGUCUGUAGUUGGCCAUGGGGGGUAUAUUGCUCAUACUUCUAAAGCACAAGGAACACGUAGUUCUGAUCAAUGAAAAAUGUGAACUGCAAAAUGUCAUUAAGGAACUUAAAACGGAAGGCAAGAAAUUGAUGACCAUCAACAUGAAAUAUCAGUAUAGCACAACGCACAUCAACAGAAGUUGACAGACUUAAGUAGUUGGCAUCAAGAGGAAUUAAGUGACUAUGAAGAACGAAUUGAGGAAACAAAAACCUGUUUCAGCAAGGUGGCUCUGGAGUCGCAGAAACUGAUCACUCUAAAAUCCAUGAGAUGUGAAAAAAUAUUCAAGUUGUACAAACUGAAAAAGUAGAGUCUACAAAGAAAUUGAAGAACUUAAGGAUAAAAUAAAAGACAUAAAUAAAAAGUUAUCUUCUGUGGAAAAGUGGCAGACAUGUUUUGAGGAGAGAACAAGAACAGCUAAGUGUGGAGAAGAGACAAAUAAUUUCAGGAUGUGAAAGCUUGAAAUUGGAAUGUAGGAAAUUGCAGCGCAGUGACAUUGUGACACAAAAGGAAAGGAUUCUUCCGCAGAGCGCAUCAGUGGAGAAAGUGUUCAGAUUGCGCCAAGCGCUGUCUGAUGUGGCAACUGAAAUAAUGAGACUGAGUAGUUUAAACCAAGGAAUUCGUGUGACUACUGAAUGCCUACUAUGUGCUGAGCACCCUGCCAGGGACUAAGGUGCUGUAAUAAACAGUCUCCACCAAGUCCAGGGGAGACACGAAGGAGAGGCAGCAGGCCUACUAGGAGACCAGAAAGUUCAGAGGCUCCCCACCUGGUCCUGGGAGAACAAUGGAUCAAAGGCAAGAAGGUCAAGAAUUUGGUACACUGGGGGAUUAGGAAAAAAACAAGGAUGUUUCAAAUCUUUGUGCCACAGUUUCUCUUCCAGGUAAGGUAUGCUAGAUCCUGAGUCUGCUGUUAUCAUGAAGAUCUAACAGAUCUUUACCACUGCCCCUUUUCAUUAAUUGCAUAGCAUAGCUUUCUCCACUGCCAUUAUACAGAAGCUGGGAGAAGAGAUAUGCCUAGAAAAUCCUUGCUGGAAAUGGCCUCCAGAAAUACAAACUAUGGUAGCAAUCAUUGGAAAAAUUCAGUACUGAGGGCCCCAUGGCCCAAGGACUACAAAGUCUCAGCUGCUUGUGAGGUUCUGUCCAGGUAUUUCCCAUCUACUCUUCCAAAAUCUGUUCUUUUAGGUAAUGGAAAAGGUACAGGUUAGUCCUUCUUUUGAUUCAAUCAACUGUUAAAGAUCACCAGAAACACAGUAUUUUUGAUAUGUGAAUGUCAUGUGCCAGUGAAGAACUUUCCAUAUUUUCAGAUUCCCUCCGACAUGUGUGUGAUCCUGUCACCAUCGCCUGACCUAUUCCUACACUUUGAAAGUAUCUCAGUUUUCAGAAAUUCCAACUGAUCAAGAGGUAGCAUUAGGACACACUGGACUGGCUGCUGUAAGUGUUCUAUCCCCUUGUCUGCGGGGAAACAACACUGGAGAUCUCUCUCUGCACUAGGCACUCUUGUUUCUACAGGGUCCAUCUCACAUGUAAAGCAUAAAAAUGCAUCCACAUCCCCUAUUACACAUGAACAGCUCCCUACCAAAAAAACUGAAGGAGUACUUAAAAUUUUCCUUUUCUAAUUAUUUAGCUAUGAAUAAUUCAUGUAAUUUAUCACUGAGUCUGAUCUCUUACCUAUCACAUGUGCACAGCUGGGAAUUCUUGCAAAUAACAACUAACGUUAAUGCAGUAAAAUUUGUAAACAAUACGGCUGGACGAAAAUGUCAUG
Molecule: non-coding RNA, 1973 nt
Organism: Microcebus murinus (gray mouse lemur)
Lineage: Eukaryota; Metazoa; Chordata; Mammalia; Primates; Cheirogaleidae
Source: RefSeq, a predicted model, not a curated record